This 253-nucleotide ribosomal RNA is filed under the name uncultured bacterium. RNAcentral's name for it is "partial 16S ribosomal RNA". It matches the Rfam family "Bacterial small subunit ribosomal RNA", at positions 524 to 776 of the family's 1533-position model. The record is from RNAcentral.
UACGUAGGGUGCAAGCGUUAAUCGGAAUUACUGGGCGUAAAGCGUGCGCAGGCGGUUUUGUAAGUCUGACGUGAAAUCCCCGGGCUUAACCUGGGAAUUGCGUUGGAGACUGCAAGGCUGGAGUCUGGCAGAGGGGGGUAGAAUUCCACGUGUAGCAGUGAAAUGCGUAGAGAUGUGGAGGAACACCGAUGGCGAAGGCAGCCCCCUGGGUCAAGACUGACGCUCAUGCACGAAGGCGUGGGGAGCAAACAGG